UAACAGAGGGUCGAUCAUGGCUCAGAUUGAACGCUGGCGGAUGCUUUCCAAGCAUAUGCAAAGUCGAACCGUUAGCACGGACUUCGGUCUGGUGGCGAGUGGCGAACGGGUGAGAAGAUCAAACGUGCCUAGAGUAGCGGGGGAUAACUACGCGAAAGGUAUUAAUACCGUACACAACACUUUUCGGGGGAAAGCGGGGACCUUCGGGCCUCAAAAUUAUUAGGAGCGGCCUGAUAUCGUGAUUAGCCAGUUGCGGCGUCUGGCUCACCAAGGCGACGAUCCGUAGCUGGUUUGAGAGGACGACCAGCCACACUGGGACUGGAGACACGGCCCAGACUCUACGGAGAAACAGUGGGAAUUUUGGACAAUGGGGAAACCCCGAUCCAGCCAUCCUGCGUGCGAUGAAGGCCUUCGGGUUGUAAAGCACUUUUGGCAGUGAAAGAAACGGCACGGAUACCCUGCAACCUGACGGUACCUGCAGAAUAAGCACCGGCUAACUACGCGCCAGCAGCCGUGGUAAUACGUAGGCAAGCGUUAAUCGGAAUUACUGGGCGUAAAGCGUGCGCAGGCGGUUCGAAAGAAAGAUGUGAAAUCCCAGAGCUUAACUUCUUUGGAACUGCAUUUUUAACUACCGAGCUGAUGCCAGAGGGAGGGAAUUCUGCGUGUAGCAGUGAAUGAGGAGGAACACCGAUGGCGAAGGCAGCCUCCUGGGAUAACACUGACGCUCAUGCACGAAAGCGUGGGGAGCAAACAGGAUUAGAUACCCUGGUAGUCCACGCUCCUAAACGAUGUCAACUAGCUGUUGGGGCCUUCGGGCCUUGGUAGCGCAGCUAACGCGUGAAGUUGACCGCCUGGGGAGUACGGUCGCAAGAUUAAAACUCAAAGGAAUUGACGGGGGACUCCACAAGCGGUGGAUGAUGUGGAUUAAUUCGAUGCAACGCGAAAAACCUUACUCUACCCUUGACAUGUCUGGAAUCCUGAAGAGAUUUGGGAGUGCUCGCAAGAGAACCGGAACACAGGUGCUGCAUGGCUGUCGUCAGCUCGUGUCGAGAUGCUGGGUUAAGUCCCGCAACGAGCGCAACCCUUGUCAUUAGUUGCUACGAAAGGGCACUCUAAUGAGACUGCCGGUGACAAACCGGAGGAAGGUGGGGAUGACGCUUGGCAGUCCCUCAUGGCCCUUAUGGGUAGGGUGUCACACGUCAUACAAUGGUCGGGACAGGGUCGCCAACCCGCGAGGGGGAGCCAAUCCCAGAAACCCGAUCGUAGUCCGGAUCGCAGUUCGCAACCUGACUGCGUGAAGUCGGAAUCGCCGGCAAUCGCGGAUCAGCAUGUCGCGGUGAAUACGUUCCCGGUCUUGUACACACCGCCCGUCACACCAUGGGAGUGGGUUUUACCAGAAGUAGUUAGCCUAACCGUAAGGAGGGCGAUUACCACGGUAGGAUCCAUGACUGGGUGAAGUCGUAACAAGGUAA
Molecule: ribosomal RNA, 1472 nt
Filed under: uncultured Bordetella sp.
Lineage: Bacteria; Pseudomonadati; Pseudomonadota; Betaproteobacteria; Burkholderiales; Alcaligenaceae
Description: partial 16S-23S ribosomal RNA intergenic spacer
Rfam family: Bacterial small subunit ribosomal RNA
Source: RNAcentral